Molecule: long non-coding RNA, 1470 nt
Filed under: Oryctolagus cuniculus (rabbit)
Lineage: Eukaryota; Metazoa; Chordata; Mammalia; Lagomorpha; Leporidae
Description: lncRNA (ENSOCUG00000032058.1)
Source: RNAcentral
UGCAAACUCAAAUUCUAAAACGCAUGCAUAGGGCUAAUGCUUAGGAAGAAAACCGAGAAAAUCAGUCAUUAGAAUGUGCAUCGACUGUGGGCAAAUUAACUUUACCUCUGGAGCAGUUGAUAAGAUUUAAUAUAAACAUGAUAGAGGGGUUCAAACAGAUAAAAGAAGUAAACAGAAGAAGUUAUGUGAUACAUAUAAAAAGGAAACACAGAAGAAGUGGUUGGAAACUUCUAAAUGAUAAACAGUCAUUGGAGUGCACGUGCAUUGGAAGAUUUGAAUUGUGGCAUAGUUGAAGAGAAAAUGAGUAAUUUGCAAGAUUAUAAAAACGAGAAACAACACAGCAUAGAGAGGAAGGAGAAUAUCAUAUGAGCACGAACACAGGGGAGCUGGUGUAUUUGGUGGGGGAAAUUAGGUAGUUCUCCUUCUGUUGCUUCUGUUUGCUCAGUAAAAUUAGAGGUGAGAGUAUCGGCUGAACUGGAAGAGGGAGUGUUACAUCUCUGAGGUUAACAGAUAAGUUGUCUGUUUAGAGAUCAGAACAGUGAAUUAAGGAAAUAGAUGGAUUGCAGGUAGUACCGGUGGCCCACUUUAGCUUCACCCGGAUUUAGACCCGCUAAAAAAGUCUUGGUUCCCAAAUAGACACAUUGCAGGCAAAGAGUAAUAAGGAAAUUGAGUUAGAAAGACAAAAAUAAAGUAUCUGAAACACUUUCAAUUCACUGUGAUCGUAUCCUCUGAUUGAGAUUCUGUCUUUAAAAACCAGAUUGUCAAAUGAAAGUAUAGAGAAAAGAGAAGAAAAAUGGUCCAUGAGGAAAGAAGAAUGAAGAAGAGACAGCAUGGAUGCCGCAAUAGCACAUAUUUGACAGAUGCAGCGGCAAUAUGCUGCAAAUAGAAAGAGAAAAGGAUGAUUUAGAAGACAGAUCAGCUGAGUUCUUGGAGGAUCAAGUAGCCACCCACACCCCUUGGAACCUCACCCAGCUGAGUCUUCAGGGCUGCAGGGCAAUUCUUCCCGUAGCGGAGACCAAGGAACUCCCCUUGAAGGCUGCAUUUAUCUCCACGCCUUUGUCUUCCUCUGUAACCUGGGCCAGAAAACUCGAAGUCCCUGCAUCCCAGCCUCCUUUGGAACUCCGAGAUGGCCUCACGACACGCUUCUGGCCAAUGAGGCAAAAGAUUUCCCUUGGCAAAUAGAAUGGCGAUACCUCUCUCGAACACUGUCUUCUUGGAGAUUGUGCGGCUUUUUUUUUUUUUUUUUUUUUUCUACCUUGAACUUGGAUGAGGCACUGGAAGUGCAGCAGGCUCUUUUGACCUGAGCUAACAAUUCUGAGAAAGGAAGCUGUGUUGCCAGGGGCACCAGUGAACACCACCCCAGCCUUUCAUUGGCUGCCCACUGUUCCUUCUCCGGGUCGGAUAAAUGUACCUCUGCCGUGUAACCCGUACUAGGCUGCUGGUAUUGGAUUACACUUGGACUGACACAUU